AUUGAACGCUGGCGGCAUGCUUUACACAUGCAAGUCGAACGGUAACAGGCCGCAAGGUGCUGACGAGUGGCGAACGGGUGAGUAAUGCAUCGGAACGUGCCCAGUCGUGGGGGAUAACUACUCGAAAGAGUAGCUAAUACCGCAUACGAUCUAUGGAUGAAAGCGGGGGACCGUAAGGCCUCGCGCGAUUGGAGCGGCCGAUGUCAGAUUAGGUAGUUGGUGGGGUAAAGGCUCACCAAGCCAACGAUCUGUAGCUGGUCUGAGAGGACAACCAGCCACACUGGGACUGAGACACGGCCCAGACUCCUACGGGAGGCAGCAGUGGGGAAUUUUGGACAAUGGGCGCAAGCCUGACCCAGCAAUGCCGCGUGCAGGAAGAAGGCCUUCGGGUUGUAAACUGCUUUUGUACGGAACGAAACGGCUCUGGUUAAUACCCGGGGCUAAUGACGGUACCGUAAGAAUAAGCACCGGCUAACUACGUG
Molecule: ribosomal RNA, 482 nt
Filed under: uncultured bacterium
Lineage: Bacteria
Description: partial 16S ribosomal RNA
Rfam family: Bacterial small subunit ribosomal RNA
Source: RNAcentral